Molecule: long non-coding RNA, 2212 nt
Filed under: Xyrichtys novacula (pearly razorfish)
Lineage: Eukaryota; Metazoa; Chordata; Actinopteri; Labriformes; Labridae
Source: RNAcentral
GGCAAGCCGAGACAAGUCUAAAGCAGAUUUUGGCAACAAGUGCCUAACGCCGACAACAGAGGAAUCCUAACAGAGGUCAUAAGUCAUCAACACCAAGUUGGUUUGUUAUUUAUACCCCAUUUAUUGAGAUAUUUGAAACUGAGAAUUUCUGUCAAACUGAUUUAUAUUUGGAAUCACAAGCUUCCCCUGAUCACCAGUAGGUGUCACUAUUUGGUAGUAUAUCUCUAACACCAACAUCCACGAAAUGACAAAUGAGAGUUCAUAUGAGAUCCAUCAUUCAAAGCAAAAAUCACACCCAGCAGGGCUCAGGCAUGCUGAAAACAAAAGGUUGCACAGAGUGAACACACGGGCGGCCAGCUGCUCUGUUCAGAGAGCAGGUUCAUAUUAAACCAUGAUGGCUUUUUUAAAGGUUAGCACAAAUGACUUUAAAGGUCAAAACCUGCAUUUUUUUUCCCUGUAGAAGAAAUGUGUUUUUUUUUCUUUGAAUACUAAACCAAAUGGAGUCAGUGUGUCAGAUAUAAGAAUCCAUCACUCUUCUAAAAAAGCUGCAAAUAUCAGUCUCUGGGGGAGAUAAGAAGUGACUCAGAACAGCCACCUCUGAGUGUAAACACAUGUGGACUGGUUACCUCUGCGUGUGGAUGUUAACAUGACUGAGUGUGUGUUUGUGUGUGGCUGUCUCCAGGUGUGAGUUGCCAUCCUGUCCUGGGUAAUGGAUGUAAUUAACUGGUCACUGUAGCAUAGAGUCUUUAUAUACCAUAAGUAAUAGUCAAGCCAGAGCAAAUCACCACGUAAUGGGCAAUUCUCCUCCCAGCAGGGGCACUAAAUGUUUCAUCCCACUUUCUCUAAUUACCCAAUUAAAGCUUAUGUGGCAGAUAUGCUCUCCUGUAUUGUCUUCUGCUUGAGCUUGAUGGUAUGAGAGCCUUUCAGUAAUCAUAUCCUUUCAACAGCAUGAGAAACAAGAAUGUGAAGGAGCAGCACCAUGGGGAAACUACGUACCAGCAUGUACGCAGCAGAGACUUUCCUAUACUGGUGCAAACAAGAACACAUCAAGCAUAAAACAAGAAAUGUGUUUGGUGUAAACACAUUUCCUGGUUGUAGGUCAGAGGACGCAAACACUUUUUUUUAAGUGACAGAAUUGCAAAGCAGCGGUUUCAGCAGGGUUUAUAGACACUUGACUGAGAAUAGUGGGGUUAAUGUUCGUUACAGUCAGCACAUUUACAUGCACAGUUAAAUAAAGCUACGGUCAUAGUUUGAUUAGGUGGUUUAACUGGACUUCUGUCCUUGUCCCAGACUACGAGCACCAGCAAGAAUCAUAUAAUUCAAAGAAGCAUGUUCGCCUCUGCUAUGAUAAGUGCUGACAUACCCUCUCCAAUCCUGCCAUCACCUAGUUCAUGAAUUACGUGUCAAAACAAUCAACAAAAUGAGUUAGCUAUGAAACCCUGUGAGAAAGGAGGGUUUUGUCUGUAUUUACACCCUUUCUUCAGGUGUCGAGGUUUAUUUACACAUUUAUACUAUUCAACUGCCAGCUCAAAGCCUUGCAUGGGAUCAGGUUGUGAUUACACUUAUUCCAGUUCCAGUCCUAUUGAGCUGUGAGAAAAUCAAUCUCCAACCAAAUUAUCUGCAAAUUAGUCAGACUGUUUUAUUAAGUGCAAUUUCAUUCAGACUUGGGCAAAAAGCCAGACUAUCAACAGCUGCAGAUAGGGAUCAAUAUGACCUUGUAAAACCUCUUCUUUUAAUAUGAAUACUGGCAGUAGUAUAUACAAGGACUCUUGUCUCUGUCCUUUUCGCUCACCAAACUUUACCUCAGUUAAAAACUAUUUUAGCUGUGAUUUGCUAAAGGUUUGAACUGACAAUAACAAUGAGGAACACAAAAUUGUUGAGUCCAAGAAUAGUACUAAAACAAAAACAAGGUCUAUGAGGCAAAAAGAAGGGCAGAAAAUUUCCUGAACUGAGUGUAUACUUACACCAAAAUAUCAAUAUAGUGACAAUAUUAAAUUUUCCUUAGGGGAUCAAUAAAGGUCUUCUUGAUUUAUCAAUAGUGGGUAAGAGUUUCUCAAAUUGAUGGUGAUUCAGAUUCAGUGUUAGAUUUAGGGAAUCAGUUGUCAUUAAAUGCAUAGCAAACCAUGUUCCUGCAGAAACCCAGGAGGGACCAAAUCAGAAUCAGAACGCCCUUUAUUGUCAUCAUACUGAAAGUACAAUAAGAUUGGAGAGC